RNAcentral lists this long non-coding RNA (1444 nucleotides) under Marmota monax (woodchuck). Lineage: Eukaryota; Metazoa; Chordata; Mammalia; Rodentia; Sciuridae. The record is from RNAcentral.
UUUUGUUUCUAGGAGUUUUGUAUGCCCACUUAUUUUGUACAGUUAGGAGGGGCAUGGACUACUAUUUGGUCUCAAGAAAGUCUUUCUUACCUUAACAUCCUACUCCCUUUUCUCCAAAGUACUAUCUGAAUACUUGGAGAAGAGAGAGACUUGUACACAACCCAGGAACAUCCACGGACUAGGGUGCUCCCACCCUAGAGGAGGCAUUGCUUUAUCAGUUGUUAUAAUUCUAGCACGUAAGACGAGGUCCUAAAGGUAAUUUCUUUAUUGAACAAAUAGGGGAGUGACUCCAGCUCCCACUGUGUGCCUGUUGUUGUCUUGGAUACGAGGAACAACAAACAAGAAAAAGAAGACAAACCAGAUGUGGUGGUAGGCACCUGUAAUCCCAGCAACCUGGGAGGCUGAGGCAGGAGGAUCACCAACGAGUUCAAAGCCAGCCUCAGCAGAUUAGUGAGGCACUUAGCAACUCAGCGAGACCCUGCCUCUAAAUAAAUAAUAAUAAUUUUUAAAAAGGUACAGUGGUUUAGCAUCCCUGGGUUCAAUCCCUGGUUUAAAAAAAAAAAGAAAAAAGAAAGAAAGAAAAAAAGAAAAAUAAGAUGAGUCUCUUCUCCUCGGAAGUGGUAUAAAAUCUAGCUAAGUCUUAGAACAACUAGUAAUGAAAUAAAUAUUGCAUGAUACCCCAAAGAAUAAAGUAAAUAUCCAUAAAAUCCAUACUGCUUUAAAUUUAAAAAUCAAGUAAAUGAUUAAAUGGGAGAAAGGGGACAACUCUUUCUUACAGAAAAAUUUCAAUUAAUGGAACUGGAAAUGCAUCACCAGACUCUACAGUAGUAAUUCCACAGGGAAGUAAAUUCUCCUGGUCGAGGAAUUCUGGGGGCACAAGUGGAUUCAGUGGGUGAGAACUGCAGGGCAAAAGUUUAGCAGAAAUGGGAUAUUUGCAGAGCUUUGAAGCAUCUCUCCCCAAAUAAUGUAGUAGCUACACAGAGGAAAACCGUGACCCUGCAGUAGAGAGUCCUGGCUGACCCCAGCUUCACUGAUGAACCAGGUUAAGUUCACAUCACGAGGGACAUACACUGAAAUUGCCUGUCCCCUUGACACCAAGGGCAUCUCAUAAUGCAGACUCUCACUCCAACCAAGAGAAAAUACCAGACCAUCCCGUCUGGGAGGACAUUUCAGAAAAUAACCAACCAUUCUUCUUCAAGAGUGCCAUCCUGAAAGACCAGAAAGGAUUGGAGAGGGUCCCGUAUUUGGCGAAGACAAAAGAAACAUGACGACAGAUUCCCCGUGACAUUCUCCAUGGUUGGCUCCUGCAACAGGAAACAAAACCGUGUUGAGUGGAAACACUGGGGAAAUCCUAAUAAAUUCAGUAGUUGAGUUAGCAAUCUUGACGGAGGCUGAUUUUCUCAUUUUGCUCUUUGUCCGAGGGUGAGGUCGGAUGCUAACAAAG